Molecule: ribosomal RNA, 298 nt
Filed under: uncultured soil bacterium
Lineage: Bacteria
Description: partial 16S ribosomal RNA
Rfam family: Bacterial small subunit ribosomal RNA
Source: RNAcentral
AGAUUGAACGCUGGCGGCAUGCCUAACACAUGCAAGUCGAACGGGAGUAGCAAUACUCUAGUGGCGGACGGGUGAGGAAUACGUAGGAAUUUGCCCUUAAGUGGGGGAUAACCCGGGGAAACCCGGAUUAAUACCGCAUGACCUCGAAAGAGCAAAGUGGGGGAUCGCAAGACCUCACGCUUUUGGAGAAGCCUACGUCGGAUUAGCUAGUUGGUGAGGUAAUGGCUCACCAAGGCGACGAUCCGUAACUGGUCUGAGAGGAUGAUCAGUCACACCGGAACUGAGACACGGUCCGGAC